CCUACGGGAGGCUGCAGUGGGGAAUAUUGCACAAUGGGCGCAAGCCUGAUGCAGCCAUGCCGCGUGUGUGAAGAAGGCCUUCGGGUUGUAAAGCACUUUCAGCGGGGAGGAAGGCGGUGAGGUUAAUAACCUCAUCGAUUGACGUUACCCGCAGAAGAAGCACCGGCUAACUCCGUGCCAGCAGCCGCGGUAAUACGGAGGGUGCAAGCGUUAAUCGGAAUUACUGGGCGUAAAGCGCACGCAGGCGGUCUGUCAAGUCGGAUGUGAAAUCCCCGGGCUCAACCUGGGAACUGCAUUCGAAACUGGCAGGCUAGAGUCUUGUAGAGGGGGGUAGAAUUCCAGGUGUAGCGGUGAAAUGCGUAGAGAUCUGGAGGAAUACCGGUGGCGAAGGCGGCCCCCUGGACAAAGACUGACGCUCAGGUGCGAAAGCGUGGUGAGCAAACAGGAUUAGAUACCCUUGUAGUC
RNAcentral lists this ribosomal RNA (465 nucleotides) under uncultured Klebsiella sp. RNAcentral describes it as "bacterial SSU rRNA". It matches the Rfam family "Bacterial small subunit ribosomal RNA", at positions 338 to 795 of the family's 1533-position model. The record is from RNAcentral. Lineage: Bacteria; Pseudomonadati; Pseudomonadota; Gammaproteobacteria; Enterobacterales; Enterobacteriaceae.